CUGCGACAGUCGGGGUCGGUGCGGUUUGCUAAGUGGUCGGUUCCUGGAGCUGCGGUCUUCUGCUAGCCUGAUCCGCAGCUUCAGCCUCCGCCGCCUCCUCAGCCCUCGGCGCCGCCGCCUGACCCGCAGGCCGCCGCGGGCCGCAGAGCCCAUGAGGGCGCGGGCACCGCCGCCGCCUCCGCGGCGUCGCCGUCGUCCCGGAGCGCCCCGAGCUGGCGCGGGCAUGGCCGCGGCAUGAGCGUGGAGCCGCCGCCGGAGCUGGAGGAGAAGGCGGCGUCGGAGCCCGAGGCGGGAGCCAUGCCGGAGAAGCGCGCGGGCGCGCAGGCCGCGGGGAGCACCUGGCUACAAGGCUUUGGCCCACCAAGUGUGUACCAUGCUGCUAUUGUCAUCUUCCUUGAAUUCUUUGCGUGGGGCCUUUUGACAACUCCAAUGUUGACUGUUCUACAUGAAACAUUUUCUCAACACACAUUCCUCAUGAAUGGUCUCAUUCAAGGUGUAAAGGGCCUGCUCUCUUUUUUGAGUGCCCCACUCAUUGGUGCCCUGUCUGAUGUGUGGGGGAGGAAGCCCUUUCUCCUCGGCACUGUAUUCUUUACCUGCUUCCCAAUCCCACUGAUGAGGAUCAGCCCAUGUAGCCAAAAAGUGAAAACAACCCAAAUGUUCAUCACCUGAUGAAUGAAUAAGUUUCAGGAUAUCCACCAAUGGAAUAUUAUUCAGCAAUAAAAAGGUUUGAUGUAAUGAUAGAUGCUAAAAACAUGGAUGAACCUUGGAAAUAUUUAAAGUAAAAUAAGACAGGUGUGAAAGACAUACAUUGUAUGAUUCCAUUCAUAUGCAAGUCCAGAGCAUGUAAAGCUAUAUAGAAAGUCAGUUCGUGGUUAUGUAGGCCUAGGAUGUAGAUCGGUGGGGGGCAGGGAGUGAUAGCUAAAGGACAAGGGGUUUUUUUUCUUCUUCAUUUUUUGAGAUGGAGUCUCACUCUGUCACCCAGGCUGGAGUGCAGCGGCACAAUCUUGGCUCACUGCAACCUCCGCCUCUCCGGUUCAAGCGAUUCUCCUGCUUCAGCCUCUCAUGUAGCUGGGAUCACAUGUGUGCCACCAUGCCCAGCUGAUUUUUGUAUUUUUAGUAGAGGCGGGGUUUCACCAUGUUGGCCAGGCUGGUCUCGAACUCUUCACCUCAAGUGAUUCACUCACCUCGGCCUCCCAAAGUGUUGGGAUUACAGGCGUGAGCCACUGCACCCAGCCUAGGGGUUUUCUUUUUGAGGUGAUAAAAAUGUUCUAAAGUUUAUAGUGAUGAUGCUUGCAAUUUCUAUAAGUAGACUUAAUGCAGUGAUGGUUGCAAAUUCUAUAAAUAUAUUUAAUGUGGUGAUGGUUGCAAAUUCUAUGAAAAACCCAAAUUGUACAAUUUCAAUGAGUGAAAGCAUGCUAUGUGAAUGUCUUCAUAAAGGUUUUAUUUAAAAAAUGAGCAAACGGUAGAAUGUUAACAUGGCCCACGUCUAUGUGGUGUCUAUAUUGGUUUCUAUUAUAUGUUUUCUAUGUGGUUGAAACAUUCCUAAUAAAAUGUGCAUAGUUUUUUAAAAAAGAAAACACAUCAGUGGACGUGAAUGCAGGAUGUCUUAUGAAUGCUCACACAGAAGCUCCCAUUCGUGAGGAAUGCAGGGAAAAGCAGAAGAUGGAGUAGGAGUUGGCAUGGCCCAGCUAGCUCAGAUGACACACGAUGGUCCCAGUGGCAUGACUUGGUUUGUGUGAUUUGUGCCUUGGGGUUUUAUUUUGGCACAUUAUAAAGGAGUAAAUAAAGCCUGUAUACAGUCA
Long non-coding RNA from Homo sapiens (human), 1802 nucleotides. Ensembl annotates it as major facilitator superfamily domain containing 14C, pseudogene. Its record names the gene MFSD14CP. NCBI's taxonomy places the organism in Eukaryota, Metazoa, Chordata, Mammalia, Primates, Hominidae. The record is from Ensembl.